Long non-coding RNA from Artibeus jamaicensis (Jamaican fruit-eating bat), 352 nucleotides. RefSeq lists it as uncharacterized. Lineage: Eukaryota; Metazoa; Chordata; Mammalia; Chiroptera; Phyllostomidae. The record is from RefSeq and is a predicted model, not a curated record. The transcript is spliced from 3 exons.
GAAAACCUCUCUAUGGUCCACCUAUUGUAAGUCCACGUUUUCCUGAGUUGUUGAGGUGACUCCUUCAGGUUUCUGGGCUGCCAAGGCACAGUAAAUAAUGGGUGAAGUAAUACUUGGAAGACUAAGGCUGUGCUUUGUUAUCUUCAGAAACACACUUCAAGGUGGAGAAUUGCGCACAGGAAGUUUAAAGGGGAGUCAGCUCCACAGCAGCACCUGCGUGGGAAGGAGUUACUGUGAACUUGUACAGGGAGUUUAUGAAGAGAUAGUGCUGUUUGGUUUGGGCCUUGAAAGACAGCUGAGAUAUCAUCUGGUAAGAUGAGGUGUAUAACCUCACCCCUUCCGGCAGUGCAGC